Molecule: ribosomal RNA, 497 nt
Filed under: uncultured bacterium
Lineage: Bacteria
Description: partial 16S ribosomal RNA
Rfam family: Bacterial small subunit ribosomal RNA
Source: RNAcentral
GAUGAACGCUGGCGGCGUGCCUAAUACAUGCAAGUCGAGCGAACGGACGAGAAGCUUGCUUUUCUGAUGUUAGCGGCGGACGGGUGAGUAACACGUGGAUAACCUACCUAUAAGACUGGGAUAACUUCGGGAAACCGGAGCUAAUACCGGAUAAUAUUUUGAACCGCAUGGUUCAAAAGUGAAAGACGGUCUUGCUGUCACUUAUAGAUGGAUCCGCGCUGCAUUAGCUAGUUGGUAAGGUAACGGCUUACCAAGGCAACGAUGCAUAGCCGACCGGAGAGGGUGAUCGGCCACACUGGAACUGAGACACGGUCCAGACUCCUACGGGAGGCAGCAGUAGGGAAUCUUCCGCAAUGGGCGAAAGCCUGACGGAGCAACGCCGCGUGAGUGAUGACGGUCUUCGGAUCGUAAAGCUCUGUUAUUAGGGAAGAACAUAUGUGUAAGUAACUGUGCACAUCUUGACGGUACCUAAUCAGAAAGCCACGGCUAACUACGUG